RNAcentral lists this ribosomal RNA (435 nucleotides) under uncultured bacterium. RNAcentral's name for it is "partial 16S ribosomal RNA". It matches the Rfam family "Bacterial small subunit ribosomal RNA", at positions 29 to 507 of the family's 1533-position model. The record is from RNAcentral.
AGCGAACGCUGGCGGCAGGCUUAACACAUGCAAGUCGAGCGGGCAUAGCAAUAUGUCAGCGGCAGACGGGUGAGUAACGCGUGGGAACGUACCUUUUGGUUCGGAACAACACAGGGAAACUUGUGCUAAUACCGGAUAAGCCCUUACGGGGAAAGAUUUAUCGCCGAAAGAUCGGCCCGCGUCUGAUUAGCUAGUUGGUGAGGUAAUGGCUCACCAAGGCGACGAUCAGUAGCUGGUCUGAGAGGAUGAUCAGCCGCAUUGGGACUGAGACACGGCCCAAACUCCUACGGGAGGCAGCAGUGGGGAAUAUUGGACAAUGGGCGCAAGCCUGAUCCAGCCAUGCCGCGUGAGUGAUGAAGGCCCUAGGGUUGUAAAGCUCUUUUGUGCGGGAAGAUAAUGACGGUACCGCAAGAAUAAGCCCCGGCUAACUUCGUG